GGAGAACCAGCAGCCCAGAAUCAGUGCCCUGCCAGGCAGAAUUGCUUGGCCAUAACAAAGAUCCAUUGCCUUUCUGAUGACACCCAGCACCUCGGAUUCUGUAUACACGGGAGGUGAUUUAAGCAUCUUACUGCCACCCUGAAAUCUGGGGUCCUUUAUCCUGGCAGCAUCUAGACCCGUAACGCCCACUUCAGAAUGGGAGGGAGGAUGUCUGCUGCCCUGUCGUCUCCACACCCGAGGAAUGUCCGUGUGUGUGUGUGUGUGGUGUGCACAGCGGGCUGCACACAGCGGGCUCCACGGUGCUCGAAUGGAGGCCCUAAUGUGAAUGGAGACUAGCCUGCUGGUAGAGACCUUGGCAGUGACCGCUGUGGGCAAUGAGCCAUGGGCCAACAAUAUUCAAUGCUGUGUACCUGAUGGAUGGUUACUGUCUGAGACUGAGGCUUUUUGGGCCAGGAGUAAAAGGACUUGGUUUGUACUUGAUUGCGUCCUGUGGAUGCUUGCCUACCAACUGACUCAUCCUGACGUGCCAAAGGUCCUGGCUUUCCCCUGUGUGGGUAAGGGAAGAAGAGAGUUCUGACCCCUGAUUUAAUUAUUUACUGUGGAACCAUUGUCCUGAGUCAGGAGGAUAGAUGAGGAAAGAAUGAGAGCGUGGCUGGCAUCGCUUCAUGAUUACAUUCUGGGAAAGAUCUUGCCUGUUAACCUCUAGAGAAGGAGGGACGAUACAGACGAGGUUCAUGCUGCCAUAUCCCCCUGUUUAACAAGUGUGGAAACUGAUUUGUAGGAACAAACCAUCCCAUAUGCAACCAGACAGCUCCAUUCUGUUUUCACCGGCCCUGUGAGAUCUACACACUCAGUUCUGGGUGAGAAGACACAGAAUGGACUCACAAUUGCUGAUGUAUAGGUUCUAAUGUUUUCUAUUGUGGACACGGGACACCCAGACUGAGAACCAAUGGCUCCAGUCUGAUUUAAACAUGGGUCCGUGCUCACACACUCAAUACCUACCCUCUGUGCUCACAAGUCCUGUGUGAGUAAGACUCCAAAUUAUUCUGUCUUGUUUUACUCAAUGGUAUGCUCUACCUUAUUAUAGAGUAUACCAUGUAUUGAGACAAGAAUGCCAGUCAUUCUGAGAAACAAAAUGCAACCAUUAGUUGUCAUUUUAAUUAGUGACGAAUAGUUGUGUCAAUCAUCAAACAUGCUUGUAUAAUUGGAUGAGAAGAGGUGUAACACGGGCCAAUGAUGACGAGGUUUCGGGAUUAUAAGUCACGGACGAUGACUACGUCACUAGAGGUCUGAGGUCCAUAGCAGAAGAUGCCUCAUGUGACCCUCUCAUGCAGGGGUUGCAUGUCAGGCAUGUGCAUACAGUAGAUAUUAGCCAUGCACUCU
Molecule: long non-coding RNA, 1383 nt
Filed under: Mus musculus (house mouse)
Lineage: Eukaryota; Metazoa; Chordata; Mammalia; Rodentia; Muridae
Description: RNA imprinted and accumulated in nucleus
Rfam family: Small nucleolar RNA SNORD113/SNORD114 family (bases 1227-1300)
Source: RNAcentral